Molecule: small nuclear RNA, 192 nt
Organism: Eleginops maclovinus (Patagonian blennie)
Lineage: Eukaryota; Metazoa; Chordata; Actinopteri; Perciformes; Eleginopidae
Product: U2 spliceosomal RNA
Exons: 1
Source: RefSeq, a predicted model, not a curated record
CGCCCUUUUCGGCCUUUUUGGGUAAGAUCAAGUGUAGUAUCUUUCUUAUCAGUUUAAUAUCUGAUAUGUCCCCUAUAUGGGGGGGCAAUAUAUUAAAUGGAUUUUUAGCACUGGGAGCUAAAACAGGGGCUUGCCCCGUCACUCCAUGUCAUCGACCCGUAUUGCAGUGCCUCCGGGGACGGUGCACCCUUC